Molecule: ribosomal RNA, 1238 nt
Filed under: Cellulomonadaceae bacterium RR57
Lineage: Bacteria; Bacillati; Actinomycetota; Actinomycetes; Micrococcales; Cellulomonadaceae
Description: bacterial SSU rRNA
Rfam family: Bacterial small subunit ribosomal RNA
Source: RNAcentral
UGCCCCUGACUCUGGAAUAACCGUGGGAAACGACGGCUAAUACCGGAUAUGAGACGUCCACGCAUGUGAGCGUCUGGAAAGAUUUAUCGGUCUGGGAUGGACUCGCGGCCUAUCAGCUUGUUGGUGGGGUAAUGGCCCACCAAGGCGACGACGGGUAGCCGGCCUGAGAGGGCGACCGGCCACACUGGGACUGAGAUACGGCCCAGACUCAUACGGGAGGCAGCAGUGGGGAAUAUUGCACAAUGGGCGCAAGCUGAUGCAGCGACGCCGCGUGGGGGAUGAAGGCCUUCGGGUUGUAAACCCUUUCAGCAGGGAAGAAGCGAAAGUUACGGUACCUGCAGAAGAAGCGCCGGCUAACUACGUGCCAGCAGCCGCGGUAAUACGUAGGGCGCAACGUUGUCCGGAAUUAUUGGGCGUAAAGAGCUCGUAGGCGGUUUAUCGCGUCUGCUGUGAAAACCCGAGGCUCAACCUCGGGCUUGCAGUGGGUACGGGCAGACUAGAGUGCGGUAGGGGUGACUGGAAAUUCCUGGUGUAGCGGUGGAAUGCGCAGAUAUCAGGAGGAACACCGAUGGCCGAAGGCAGGUCACUGGGCCGCAACUGACGCUGAGGAGCGAAAGCAUGGGGAGCGAACAGGAUUAGAUACCCUGGUAGUCCAUGCCGUAAACGUUGGGCACUAGGUGUGGGGCUCAUUCCACGAGUUCCGUGCCGCAGCAAACGCAUUAAGUGCCCCGCCUGGGGAGUACGGCCGCAAGGCUAAAACUCAAAGGAAUUGACGGGGGCCGCACAAGCGGCGGAGCAUGCGGAUUAAUUCGAUGCAACGCGAAGAACCUUACCAAGGCUUGACAUACACCGGAAAAGUGCAGAGAUGUGCUCCCCGCAAGGUCGGUGUACAGGUGGUGCAUGGUUGUCGUCAGCUCGUGUCGUGAGAUGUUGGGUUAAGUCCCGCAACGAGCGCAACCCUCGUCCUAUGUUGCCAGCACGUUAUGGUGGGGACUCAUAGGAGACUGCCGGGGUCAACUCGGAGGAAGGUGGGGAUGACGUCAAAUCAUCAUGCCCCUUAUGUCUUGGGCUUCACGCAUGCUACAAUGGCCGGUACAAAGGGCUGCGAUACCGCAAGGUGGAGCGAAUCCCAAAAAGCCGGUCUCAGUUCGGAUUGGGGUCUGCAACUCGACCCCAUGAAGUCGGAGUCGCUAGUAAUCGCAGAUCAGCAACGCUGCGGUGAAUACGUUCCCGGGCCU